This is a small nuclear RNA of Rattus norvegicus (Norway rat), 140 nucleotides long. Ensembl annotates it as U2 spliceosomal RNA. NCBI's taxonomy places the organism in Eukaryota, Metazoa, Chordata, Mammalia, Rodentia, Muridae. The record is from Ensembl.
AUCGCUUCUCGGCCUUUUGGCUAAGAUCAAGUGUAAUAAAUGCUUUUAGAAAUUUCUUUAAUUAAUGUCUUAAUAAUGUGUCAUUUGUCCUGUGACUGCUACAGCUUCUGUCUAUGGCUCCAGGGCCUAGAAUGACUUGC